Molecule: ribosomal RNA, 483 nt
Filed under: uncultured bacterium
Lineage: Bacteria
Description: partial 16S ribosomal RNA
Rfam family: Bacterial small subunit ribosomal RNA
Source: RNAcentral
UUGCACGCUGGCGGCAGGCCUAACCCCUGCAAGUCGAGCGGAUGAAGGGAGCUUGCUCCUGGAUUCAGCGGCGGACGGGUGAGUAAUGCCUAGGAAUCUGCCUGGUAGUGGGGGAUAACGUCCGGAAACGGGCGCUAAUACCGCAUACGUCCUGAGGGAGAAAGUGGGGGAUCUUCGGACCUCAUGCUAUCAGAUGAGCCUAGGUCGGAUUAGCUAGUUGGUGGGGUAAAGGCCUACCAAGGCGACGAUCCGUAACUGGUCUGAGAGGAUGAUCAGUCACACUGGAACUGAGACACGGUCCAGGCGCCUACGGGAGGCAGCAGUGGGGAAUAGUGGACAAUGGGCGAAAGCCUGAUCCAGCCAUGCCGCGUGUGUGAAGAAGGUCUUCGGAGUGUAAAGCACUUUAAGUUGGGAGGAAGGGCAGUAAGUUAAUACCUUGCUGUUUUGACGUUACCAACAGAAUAAGCACCGGCUAACUUCGUG